CCUAAGCCAUGCAUGUCUCAGUACAGACUUUACCAAAGUGAAACCGCGAAUGGCUCAUUACAUCAGUUAUGGUUCCUUAGAUCGUACGCAUCCUACUUGGAUACCUGUGGCAAUUCCAGAGCUAAUACAUGCUCACGGUGUCUCCGGCCGGGCAACCGGACGGGGUGCCGUUACCAUUCAAAAGACCAAACGGUCCGCUUCUGCGGGCCGACUCAUUUGGUGACUCUAAGUAACCUCUAGGCAGAUCGCACGGUCAAGCACCGGCGACGCAUCUAUCAAAUGUCUGCCUCAUCACACUGUGGAUGGUGGGUUAUUGGCCCACCAUGGUGAUUACGGGUAACGGGGAAUCAGGGUUCGAUUCCGGAGAGGGAGCCUGAGAAACGGCUACCACAUCUAUGGAAGGCAGCAGGCACGCAAAUUACCCACUCCCGGCACGGGGAGGUAGUGACGAAAAAUAACGAUGCGGGACUCAUCCGAGGCCCCGUAAUCGGAAUGGAUCCACCCUAAACAGUUGGGUGAACCUAUCGGAGUGCAAGUCUGGUGCCAGCAGACGCGGUAAGUCCAGCUCCGAUAGCGUAUACUAAAGUUGCUGCGGUUAAAAAGCUCGUAGUUGGAUCUGGGUCUCGGGCGGUCGGUUCGCCGUCAGGCGUUCAACUGGCCGUACCGGACGUCUUCUCGGUUUCCCCGGUCUGCUCUUCACCGAGUGGACCGGGGGAUUCCGGGACGUUUACUUUGAACAAAUUAAAGUGCUCAAAGCAGGCUAUUCGCCUGGAUGCUCCUUGCAUGGAAUAAUGGAACAGGACCUCGGUUCUCUCUGUUGGUUUUCGAACCAGAGGUAAUGAUUAAAAGGGAUUGACGGGGGCUUGAGUAUUGCGAGGGGAGAGGUGAAAUUCUAGGAUCCUCGCAAGACUACCUACAGCGAAAGCAUUUGCCAAGAAUGUCUUCAUUAAUCAAGAACGAAAGUUAGAGGUUCGAAGGCGAUUAGAUACCGCCCUAGUUCUAACCAUAAACGAUGCCAUCCAGCGAUGCGCAAGGUUCAAGAACACCGUGCGCGCAGCCCCCGGGAAACCUGAGAUUUCGGGUUCCGGGGGGAGUAUGGUUGCAAAGCUGAAACUUAAAGGAAUUGACGGAAGGGCACCACAAGGCGUGGGACGUGCGGCUCAACUUGACUCAACACGGCAAACUUACCAGGCCCGGACACCGCAAGGAUUGACAGAUUGAGAGCUCUCUCGUGAUUCGGUGGAUGGUGGUGCAUGGCCGAUUUUAGUUGGUGGAGCGAUUUGUCUGCUUGAUUGCGAUAACGAACGAGACUCCUGCCUAUUAACUAGGCGUCGGGGUAUGUGUUCCCCCGGCGCAUCAAACCUCUUCUUAGAGGGACCGGUUGUCGCUAAGCAGCAAGAGUGGGAGCUAAAUCAGGUCAGUGAUGCCCUUCGAUGCCCUGGGCCGCACGCGCGUCACACUGAAGGAGACAACGCGUCUUCCCCUGCCGAGAGGUACGGGUAACCGCUGAACCUCCUUCGUGAUAGGGACCGGGGAUUGCAAUUAUUCCCCGCGRACGAGGAAUGCCCAGUAAGCGCGAGUCAUCAGCUCGCGUUGAUCGAGUCCCUGCCCUUUGUGCACACCGYCCGUCGAUGCAUCCGAUCGAGUGAUACGGUGAGGCCUUUGRACCGGCGCCCUGCGGGGGUUCCACCUUCCGCAGGAAC
This 1703-nucleotide ribosomal RNA is filed under the name Lepisma saccharinum. RNAcentral describes it as "SSU rRNA". It matches the Rfam family "Eukaryotic small subunit ribosomal RNA". The record is from RNAcentral. Lineage: Eukaryota; Metazoa; Arthropoda; Insecta; Zygentoma; Lepismatidae.